Molecule: ribosomal RNA, 1291 nt
Filed under: uncultured bacterium
Lineage: Bacteria
Description: bacterial SSU rRNA
Rfam family: Bacterial small subunit ribosomal RNA
Source: RNAcentral
UUUUGUGACUGAGUGGCGGACGGGUGAGUAACGCGUGGGUAACCUGCCUUGUACAGGGGGAUAACAGUUGGAAACGACUGCUAAUACCGCAUAAGCGCACGGUAUCGCAUGAUACAGUGUGAAAAACUCCGGUGGUAUAAGAUGGACCCGCGUCUGAUUAGCUUGUUGGUGAGGUAACGGCCCACCAAGGCGACGAUCAGUAGCCGGCCUGAGAGGGUGAACGGCCACAUUGGGACUGAGACACGGCCCAAACUCCUACGGGAGGCAGCAGUGGGGAAUAUUGCACAAUGGGGGAAACCCUGAUGCAGCGACGCCGCGUGAGUGAUGAAGUAUUUCGGUAUGUAAAACUCUAUCAGCAGGGAAGAUAAUGACGGUACCUGACUAAGAAGCACCGGCUAAAUACGUGCCAGCAGCCGCGGUAAAACGUAGGGUGCAAGCGUUGUCCGGAAUUACUGGGUGUAAAGGGAGCGCAGGCGGACCGGCAAGUUGGAAGUGAAAACUAUGGGCUCAACCCAUAAAUUGCUUUCAAAACUGCUGGCCUUGAGUAGUGCAGAGGUAGGUGGAAUUCCCGGUGUAGCGGUGGAAUGCGUAGAUAUCGGGAGGAACACCAGUGGCGAAGGCGACCUACUGGGCACCAACUGACGCUGAGGCUCGAAAGCAUGGGUAGCAAACAGGAUUAGAUACCCUGGUAGUCCAUGCCGUAAACGAUGAUUACUAGGUGUUGGAGGAUUGACCCCUUCAGUGCCGCAGUUAACACAAUAAGUAAUCCACCUGGGGAGUACGACCGCAAGGUUGAAACUCAAAGGAAUUGACGGGGGCCCGCACAAGCAGUGGAGUAUGUGGUUUAAUUCGAAGCAACGCGAAGAACCUUACCAGGUCUUGACAUCCGAUGCAUAGUGCAGAGAUGCAUGAAGUCCUUCGGGACAUCGAGACAGGUGGUGCAUGGUUGUCGUCAGCUCGUGUCGUGAGAUGUUGGGUUAAGUCCCGCAACGAGCGCAACCCUUAUUGCCAGUUACUACGAAAGAGGACUCUGGCGAGACUGCCGUUGACAAAACGGAGGAAGGUGGGGAUGACGUCAAAUCAUCAUGCCCUUUAUGACCUGGGCUACACACGUACUACAAUGGCGUUUAACAAAGAGAAGCAAGACCGCGAGGUGGAGCAAAACUCAAAAACAACGUCUCAGUUCAGAUUGCAGGCUGCAACUCGCCUGCAUGAAGUCGGAAUUGCUAGUAAUCGCGGAUCAGCAUGCCGCGGUGAAUAAGUUCCCGGGCCGUGCACACACCGCCCGUCA